Molecule: long non-coding RNA, 405 nt
Filed under: Salmo salar (Atlantic salmon)
Lineage: Eukaryota; Metazoa; Chordata; Actinopteri; Salmoniformes; Salmonidae
Description: lncRNA (ENSSSAG00000083727.1)
Source: RNAcentral
UGCUCCAGCUGAGUUGAUAGUUCUGCUCCAGAUCAGUUGAUAGUUCUGCUCCAGAUCAGUUGAUAGUUCUGCUCCAGAUCAGUUGAUAGUUCUGCUCCAGAUCAGCUGAUAGUUCUACUCCAGAUCAGCUGAUAGUUCUACUCCAGAUCAGCUGAUAGUUCUGCUCCAGCUGAUAGUUCUACUCCAGAUCAGCUGAUAGUUCUACUCCAGAUCAGCUGAUAGUUCUGCUCCAGCUGAUAGGUCUACUCCAGAUCAGCUGAUAGUUCUACUCCAGAUCAGCUGAUAGUUCUGCUCCAGAUCAGCUGAUAGUUCUGCUCAAGAUCAGCUGAUAUUUCUGCUCCAGAUCAGCUGAUAGUUCUGCUCCAGAUCAGUUGAUAGUUCUGCUCCAGAUCAGUUGAUAGUUCU